UUUACUUCACCAUUGAUGAAAUUGUGGCCAUUUUCACUGCUGAGUUUCUUAGAUGAAUCAGAGUGUUUUCUUGUUGUAACUUGUAUUAUGCAGGUACAUAGUAUUUUCUUUUUCUUUUUUUCUUCUUUAUAGAGGGGUUUUGUAUUCUUCCGUCUUCCCCUAGUCCACCUUUCUUGUGUUCAUUCUUUUUCAUGUCUAUUCAUUCUAUUUUCUUCAGAACAUUAUUGUCCUCUUUACAUGUUUUAAGAUUUAUUGUUGUAAAAUGUAUUUUUAUUCAAUUAUUACAGAGUUUUGCUGAACCAUAAAAACAAGUGCUCCAUUUUCUGAUUCAGUUGAUUUGAAGCUUCUAAGGGUAAUCCGGUAUACUAAGCUCUCACAACUUGUAACUUGUAUGAUGCAGGUACAUAGUAUUUUCUUUUCAUUUUUCUUUUUCUUAUUUAUUGAGGGGUUUUGUAUUCUUCCUCCUUCCCCUAGUCCACCUUUCUGGUGUUCAUUCUUUUUCAUGUCUAUUCAUUCUAUUUUCUUCAAAAGAUUAUUGUCCUCUUUAGAUGUUGUAAGGUUUUAUUGUUGUAAAAGGUAUUAUUAUUCAAUUUUUACGAGUUUUGCUGAAC
This 611-nucleotide long non-coding RNA is filed under the name Nicotiana benthamiana. RNAcentral describes it as "long non-coding RNA (NBEN_LNC035981)". Lineage: Eukaryota; Viridiplantae; Streptophyta; Magnoliopsida; Solanales; Solanaceae. The record is from RNAcentral.